This is a long non-coding RNA of Neofelis nebulosa (Clouded leopard), 601 nucleotides long. RefSeq lists it as uncharacterized. The transcript is spliced from 3 exons. NCBI's taxonomy places the organism in Eukaryota, Metazoa, Chordata, Mammalia, Carnivora, Felidae. The record is from RefSeq and is a predicted model, not a curated record.
UCAAUUUUCAGGUGGAAAAUAAAUGUGAGGAGGACGCUUUGAGGAUAUAUUAGAUACUUUAAGCAGCCUGAAAACUUAUGAAGUACUUUUAACAUACAUGGCUGAUCUAGCUGUCUGGGUAGACUCUUCACUGCUCAUUGCACAUCCCUCUCAAUAUUGCAUCCUAAAUGAAAUGAACAACAAUAUCGUUUGCUCAUAGGCUAAGAAGUCGCUCCUCUUCUUUGGUAUAAUCAAUCCCUCAUUCCAUACAAUACCAAAUCCAAAGCUAAAAGGAAUUUGCUUUGCCAUACAGCCACAGUGUUUUUAUAUCUUUCUUAUGGAAUUUUCAAGUCUAUCCUUCCUCCACAGAUGAUGGUUACUUCUCAUGAUUACCAAUUCAUUUACUAAGUGUUCACAAAUGAUUCUGUGAGAAUGCUGCCCACGUUCAGUAUUGAGUUCAUGGGAAAUUAAAAUUUACGUUUAUAUGAAACUAAUAUCAGUUUCCAAAACUGAGGUACAUACCUGCAUUCAAAAAAGGUAUUACAGAGAAUGCAAAGAUUAAAAUGAUGUGGACUCUGUGCUUAAGGAGGCUCCAGCUAUGUAUACUGUUUAUUGCUAUCAU